Molecule: ribosomal RNA, 199 nt
Filed under: Cladophialophora sp.
Lineage: Eukaryota; Fungi; Ascomycota; Eurotiomycetes; Chaetothyriales; Herpotrichiellaceae
Description: partial large subunit ribosomal RNA
Rfam family: Eukaryotic large subunit ribosomal RNA
Source: RNAcentral
AGUAACGGCGAGUGAAGCGGUAAUAGCUCAAAUUUGAAAUCUGGCCUCUCGGGGUCCGAGUUGUAAUUUGUAGAGGAUGUUUUGGGUACCGCCCCGGUCUAAAUUUCUUGGAACAGAAUGUCAAAGAGGGUGAGAAUCCCGUCUUGGACCGGCGGUAGGGCCUGUGUAAAACUCCUUUGACGAGUCGAGUUGUUUGGGA